Molecule: ribosomal RNA, 634 nt
Filed under: uncultured Sphaerotilus sp.
Lineage: Bacteria; Pseudomonadati; Pseudomonadota; Betaproteobacteria; Burkholderiales; Sphaerotilaceae
Description: bacterial SSU rRNA
Rfam family: Bacterial small subunit ribosomal RNA
Source: RNAcentral
AUUGAACGCUGGCGGUAUGCCUUACACAUGCAAGUCGAACGGUAGAGGAGCAAUCCUCGAGAGUGGCGAACGGGUGAGUAAUACAUCGGAACGUGCCCAGUCGUGGGGGAUAACGUAGCGAAAGCUACGCUAAUACCGCAUACGACCUGAGGGUGAAAGCGGGGGACCGUAAGGCCUCGCGCGAUUGGAGCGGCCGAUGGCAGAUUAGGUAGUUGGUGGGGUAAAGGCCCACCAAGCCUGCGAUCUGUAGCUGGUCUGAGAGGACGACCAGCCACACUGGGACUGAGACACGGCCCAGACUCCUACGGGAGGCAGCAGUGGGGAAUUUUGGACAAUGGGCGAAAGCCUGAUCCAGCCAUACCGCGUGCGGGAAGAAGGCCUUCGGGUUGUAAACCGCUUUUGUCAGGGAAGAAAUACUUCGGGCUAAUACCCUGGGGUGAUGACGGUACCUGAAGAAUAAGCACCGGCUAACUACGUGCCAGCAGCCGCGGUAAUACGUAGGGUGCAAGCGUUAAUCGGAAUUACUGGGCGUAAAGCGUGCGCAGGCGGUUCUAUAAGACAGAUGUGAAAUCCCCGGGCUCAACCUGGGAACUGCAUUUGUGACUGUAGAGCUAGAGUACGGUAGAGGAGGAUG